RNAcentral lists this transfer RNA (74 nucleotides) under Bacteroidota bacterium. RNAcentral's name for it is "tRNA-Arg". It matches the Rfam family "tRNA". Rfam says of the family: Transfer RNA (tRNA) molecules are approximately 80 nucleotides in length. Their secondary structure includes four short double-helical elements and three loops (D, anti-codon, and T loops). Lineage: Bacteria; Pseudomonadati; Bacteroidota. RNAcentral also lists the same sequence under 2 other names. The record is from RNAcentral.
GCGCCGGUAGCUCAGCUGGAUAGAGCGUCGCACUACGGAUGCGAAGGUCGGGAGUUCGAAUCUUCCCCGGCGUA